GAAAAACCCACGAAAAAAAUUCCACGACACGCACGCGCGAGCGAGUCGGCCCUCCAGAUCCCUUCGCCGCCAGCCCCCGACCUCCUCCCCGGCUCCCGGCGCCGGCCGCCCCCAUCUCCUCCCCCGAUCCUGGCUCGCCCCGCCCCCACCUUCUCCCUCAUUCCCGGCGCCGCCCGGCCCCCAUCUUCUCCCUCACUCCCGGCGCCGGCCCGCCUCCACCUCCUCCCUCACUCCCGGCGCCGCCCGACCCCCAACCUCCCUGGAUCCGCGUGCAUCGACGCCGGCUUCGCAGCGGCGCUUGAUGUGGAGUGCGGCGGAGUAGAGGAGCGGGCCUUCUUCCUCACCUCACAGCACUAUCCUCCUCCAUGACCACGCAGCCGCAGCGGCAGAGAACCCGAAUCCCUAGCCAGCAAACUCAGGCAGCCAUGGAUCCAUGGGGAGCAAUGUGCAGAUGCUGGCCACCGGAAUCUCUCGUCACUUCACAUCUUGCAUCGCGCAGACAGGGGGCAUCAGCCUGCAGCGAGAGGAUCGGCAACAUCCGCGCGGCCGCGGCGUCGUGCCGGCCCACUGCUCGCAAAGGACAGGAGCCCAUGCACGGCUGCACAUGCACAGAAGCAGGCAAACUGUUUGGCCCGCCCAGGUUUUUCUUUCAAGCUCUGCCACUGCCGAAGACCACGGUGGGAGAAGUUUUACAGGAGCCUCGUCACCAACAGCGUCUGCAACGUCUCGGAGGGGACAAGAAUAUCGCCUGACAUUUUUCUCAAUGGAUGGCUACUGACUAAAUUCAGAUAUAUGGAGUUCCGGAAUCAGUUCUGCAACUUUUUUUUUGCGGGAAUCAGUUCUGCAACUUGAGCAAGGAAAAAAACACCAACUCCCAUCGCAGGGUCGAACUGCCGGCGCGCUAGGGUUAGCGUCGGCGCCAUCCCGAGCCCCACCCGCCUAUCGGCCCCUCCCGGGACGGCUGCUAGUUCUGGCACUUUGCCACUGUGAUGCCCACUAGAUCUCGCGCUUUGCGAGCGCAUGCCGUUUGUUCCUCCGCAUCUGCCACUUCGGUGCAACCACUCCGUCAUCCAUAAAUAACGUGAAGGCAAGGCUCCAUUCAAGGGAGCGUGGCUAGCGACUAGACCGUCUAGGUGGACGCGAUCUUGAGCAGCGAAGAGCAGAUGCUCCGACAAGGCGAGCGUGGUUUCAGGCGACUUUUGCUUAGUUUGCUAACGAGAUUUCUGUCUCUUAAGGCGAGCGUGAGGCCACGACAAGAUGCUCUUGUUUAGUGGGACGCUAUGCAGGUUUUGGUGAAUGGUGCCGCUGCUGCAGCUCAUUGGUUCUAGCCCGACAUUCAGCUCUGAAUGGACGUGUGUCAGGGACAGGAUGAUCACAAUCCAGGUUUUGACACGGAGGUCAGGACCAAGCUUUAGGCAGAAAAGUGGGACAAUCUUCAGUAAGCUACAAUGUUCAUGUCUUCUUAUAUCAUUUGACUGAUGUGUUCUUGUAUCAUUCUUCUACUUUCGGAGCUAUUACUGCGAUCGUUUUGACCUCAUGUCUUCUUAUAUCAUUUGACCUUAUCUAGAUAUUAGUGGUUCUUAAUCCAGCAAGGUCUUGAAUAUUUUUCGCUUUGUCCA
Non-coding RNA from Triticum urartu, 1619 nucleotides. NCBI's taxonomy places the organism in Eukaryota, Viridiplantae, Streptophyta, Magnoliopsida, Poales, Poaceae. The record is from RefSeq and is a predicted model, not a curated record.